ACCAGACUCCUACGGGAGGCAGCAGUGGGGAAUAUUGCACAAUGGGGGGAACCCUGAUGCAGCGACGCCGCGUGGGUGAAGGAGUAUUUCGGUAUGUAAAGCCCUAUCAGCAGGGAAGAACAAUGACGGUACCUGACUAAGAAGCACCGGCUAAAUACGUGCCAGCAGCCGCGGUAAUACGUAGGGGGCAAGCGUUAUCCGGAUUCACUGGGUGUAAAGGGAGCGUAGACGGCGACGCAAGUCUGGAGUGAAAGCCCGGGGCCCAACCCCGGGACUGCUCUGGAAACUGUGUAACUUGAGUGCAGGAGAGGUAAGCGGAAUUCCUAGUGUAGCGGUGAAAUGCGUAGAUAUUAGGAGGAACACCAGUGGCGAAGGCGGCUUACUGGACUGUAACUGACGUUGAGGCUCGAAAGCGUGGGGAGCAAACAGGAUUAGAUACCCCAGUA
RNAcentral lists this ribosomal RNA (446 nucleotides) under uncultured bacterium. RNAcentral describes it as "bacterial SSU rRNA". It matches the Rfam family "Bacterial small subunit ribosomal RNA", at positions 330 to 792 of the family's 1533-position model. The record is from RNAcentral.